GUGGGGAAUAUUGGGCAAUGGGCGCAAGCCUGACCCAGCAACGCCGCGUGAAGGACGAAGGCCUUCGGGUUGUAAACUUCUUUGAUCAGGGACGAAACAAAUGACGGUACCUGAAGAACAAGCCACGGCUAACUACGUGCCAGCAGCCGCGGUAAUACGUAGGUGGCGAGCGUUAUCCGGAUUUACUGGGUGUAAAGGGCGUGCAGGCGGGCUGACAAGUCGGAUGUGAAAUUCCCGGGCUUAACUCGGGCGGGUCAUCCGAAACUGUUGGUCUUGAGUACUGGAGAGGAUAGUGGAAUUCCUAGUGUAGCGGUAAAAUGCGUAGAUAUUAGGAGGAACACCAGUGGCGAAGGCGGCUAUCUGGACAGUAACUGACGCUGAGGCGCGAAAGCGUGGGGAGCAAACAGGAUUAGAUACCCUGGUAGUCC
RNAcentral lists this ribosomal RNA (428 nucleotides) under uncultured bacterium. RNAcentral's name for it is "bacterial SSU rRNA". It matches the Rfam family "Bacterial small subunit ribosomal RNA", at positions 354 to 796 of the family's 1533-position model. The record is from RNAcentral.